ACUCCUACGGGAGGCAGCAGUAGGGAAUCUUCCACAAUGGGCGCAAGCCUGAUGGAGCAACACCGCGUGAGUGAAGAAGGGUUUCGGCUCGUAAAGCUCUGUUGUUAAAGAAGAACACGUAUGAGAGUAACUGUUCAUACGUUGACGGUAUUUAACCAGAAAGUCACGGCUAACUACGUGCCAGCAGCCGCGGUAAUACGUAGGUGGCAAGCGUUAUCCGGAUUUAUUGGGCGUAAAGAGAGUGCAGGCGGUUUUCUAAGUCUGAUGUGAAGGCCUUCGGCUUAACCGGGAGAAGUGCAUCGGAAACUGGAUAACUUGAGUGCAGAAGAGGGUAGUGGAACUCCAUGUGUAGCGGUGGAAUGCGUAGAUAUAUGGAAGAACACCAGUGGCGAAGGCGGCUACCUGGUCUGCAACUGACGCUGAGACUCGAAAGCAUGGGUAGCGAACAGGAUUAGAUACCCUGGUAGGAUAGCG
This 474-nucleotide ribosomal RNA is filed under the name uncultured bacterium. Its description in RNAcentral is "bacterial SSU rRNA". It matches the Rfam family "Bacterial small subunit ribosomal RNA", at positions 335 to 801 of the family's 1533-position model. The record is from RNAcentral.